UUUAACUGAAGAGUUUGAUCAUGGCUCAGAUUGAACGCUGGCGGCAGGCUUAACACAUGCAAGUCGAGCGGGGGAAGGUAGCUUGCUACUGGACCUAGCGGCGGACGGGUGAGUAAUGCUUAGGAAUCUGCCUAUUAGUGGGGGACAACAUCUCGAAAGGGAUGCUAAUACCGCAUACGUCCUACGGGAGAAAGCAGGGGAUCUUCGGACCUUGCGCUAAUAGAUGAGCCUAAGUCGGAUUAGCUAGUUGGUGGGGUAAAGGCCUACCAAGGCGACGAUCUGUAGCGGGUCUGAGAGGAUGAUCCGCCACACUGGGACUGAGACACGGCCCAGACUCCUACGGGAGGCAGCAGUGGGGAAUAUUGGACAAUGGGGGGAACCCUGAUCCAGCCAUGCCGCGUGUGUGAAGAAGGCCUUAUGGUUGUAAAGCACUUUAAGCGAGGAGGAGGCUACUCUAGUUAAUACCUAGGGAUAGUGGACGUUACUCGCAGAAUAAGCACCGGCUAACUCUGUGCCAGCAGCCGCGGUAAUACAGAGGGUGCGAGCGUUAAUCGGAUUUACUGGGCGUAAAGCGUGCGUAGGCGGCUUAUUAAGUCGGAUGUGAAAUCCCCGAGCUUAACUUGGGAAUUGCAUUCGAUACUGGUGAGCUAGAGUAUGGGAGAGGAUGGUAGAAUUCCAGGUGUAGCGGUGAAAUGCGUAGAGAUCUGGAGGAAUACC
Molecule: ribosomal RNA, 717 nt
Filed under: Acinetobacter baumannii
Lineage: Bacteria; Pseudomonadati; Pseudomonadota; Gammaproteobacteria; Moraxellales; Moraxellaceae
Description: bacterial SSU rRNA
Rfam family: Bacterial small subunit ribosomal RNA
Source: RNAcentral